RNAcentral lists this ribosomal RNA (506 nucleotides) under uncultured bacterium. RNAcentral describes it as "bacterial SSU rRNA". It matches the Rfam family "Bacterial small subunit ribosomal RNA", at positions 302 to 826 of the family's 1533-position model. The record is from RNAcentral.
AGUUAUCAAUUACGCCGCCGGGAACUGCCCCUUACACUUAUGGGCGACGGCAGCGGGCAAUAUCCAACAAUGCGGGCAGGCUGAAGCCGGCAAUCGGGUUGGAAUGAUGAAGGCUUUAGAACGGUAAAGCUCUUUCACCCACGAGGAUGAUGACGGUACCCGAAAAGAAGACCUGGCUAACUUCGUCCCCGCAACCGCGGUAAUAGGAAAGGGGGCACCGUUUUUUUGAAUGACUGGGGGUAAAGGGGGGGUAAGGGGUUGCCCAAGUUGAGGGUGAAAACCCGGGGCUUAACCUCGGAAUUGCCUCCAAAACUGGUCGGCUUGAGUGUGGAAGAGGGUAGUGGAAUUCUCGGUGUAGAGGUGAAAUUCGUAGAUAUCGGGAAGAACACCAGUGGCGAAGGCGACAACCUGGUCCAUUACUGACGUUGAGGCGCGACAGCGUGGGGAGCAAACAGGAUUAGAUACCCUGGUAGUCCACCCCGUAAACGAUGAGAGCUGGAUGUUGG